RNAcentral lists this ribosomal RNA (437 nucleotides) under uncultured Clostridium sp. Its description in RNAcentral is "partial 16S ribosomal RNA". It matches the Rfam family "Bacterial small subunit ribosomal RNA", at positions 341 to 792 of the family's 1533-position model. The record is from RNAcentral. RNAcentral also lists the same sequence under 1 other name. Lineage: Bacteria; Bacillati; Bacillota; Clostridia; Eubacteriales; Clostridiaceae.
ACGGAAGGCAGCAGUGGGGGAUAUUGCGCAAUGGGGGAAACCCUGACGCAGCAACGCCGCGUGCAGGAUGACGGCCUUCGGGUUGUAAACUGUUGUCGCAAGGGAAGAAACAAAUGACGGUACCUUGUGAGAAAGCCACGGCUAACUACGUGCCAGCAGCCGCGGUAAUACGUAGGUGGCAAGCGUUGUCCGGAUUUACUGGGUGUAAAGGGCGCGUAGGCGGGAUAGCAAGUCAGUCGUGAAAUACCGGGGCUCAACUCCGGAGCUGCGAUUGAAACUGUUAUUCUUGAGUAUCGGAGAGGAAAGCGGAAUUCCUAGUGUAGCGGUGAAAUGCGUAGAUAUUAGGAGGAACACCAGUGGCGAAGGCGGCUUUCUGGACGACAACUGACGCUGAGGCGCGAAAGUGUGGGGAGCAAACAGGAUUAGAUACCCUGGUA